This 108-nucleotide ribosomal RNA is filed under the name Periophthalmus magnuspinnatus. Lineage: Eukaryota; Metazoa; Chordata; Actinopteri; Gobiiformes; Gobiidae. The record is from RNAcentral.
UUGUGCGGCCCAGCCUCCUUGUCAAAGUCUAAUCUCGUCAGAUCUCAGAAGCUAAGCAAAGCCGGGCCUGGUUAUUACUUGGAUCGGAGACCACUAUUGUUGUGUCCU